ACACGACUACAUUAGAUACCCCUGUAGUCCUAGCCGUAAACGAUACUCGCUAGGUGUCGGCCACGGUGCGACCGUUGUCGGUGCCGUAGGGAAGCCGUGAAGCGAGCCACCUGGGAAGUACGGCCGCAAGGCUGAAACUUAAAGGAAUUGGCGGGGGAGCACCACAACGGGUGGAGCUUGCGGUUUAAUUGGAUUCAACGCCGGACAACUCACCAGGAGCGACGGUUACAUGAAGGCCAGGCUGAUGACCUUGCCUGAUUUUCCG
Molecule: ribosomal RNA, 265 nt
Filed under: uncultured archaeon
Lineage: Archaea
Description: partial 16S ribosomal RNA
Rfam family: Archaeal small subunit ribosomal RNA
Source: RNAcentral